CCGGCUACUAUACUCUUAUGAGUACGAUCGCCUUCGUACUCAUAAGUUAUUUUUGAUGAUAGAGUUUCCGAAUUAACGAUCCAUACCGUUAAACAUUUUCUAGAACAUUUAAAACUACUACAAAUCAAAUUUUAUAAUUUUUCAAUAUCAUUUACCUUACGAUCAAAAGCUCACAAAAUUGACAAUUUUUAACAGCCGGUAUGAAAUAUUUGCUAGUUUAACGGUAUAAAAGAAUCGGAAUAGGUUGAAUUUUUAAUAAAAUAUUCUAUUCACUACCUAAAUAAAGAUCAAUAACUCUGAUCUUAAAUUUAAGGAUCCGAUCAUCUAUUUUUAGUAUGUUGUUCGAUUUUAACCAUUCAUUUUAUAUCCGCUUGAUGGGCUUUAUAAUGAUUUUGAAAAAUUACGAAUUUUAUUUUCUAAAAAGUUCAAAUAUCCUAGAUCAUAUUUAACAAUAUGGAUUGUCGAUUCGAAAGCUCCAACAUCGAAAAUAAUUUAUGAGUACGAAGGGCUCUAUACUCAUAAGAGUAGAGUAACUCUACUAUAUAUAUAUAUAUAGUCUUGAGCCGGGAGUGCUUUUGGAAACACCAAGUACUUUGAC
RNAcentral lists this long non-coding RNA (598 nucleotides) under Ananas comosus (pineapple). RNAcentral describes it as "long non-coding RNA (ACOM_LNC032335)". The record is from RNAcentral. Lineage: Eukaryota; Viridiplantae; Streptophyta; Magnoliopsida; Poales; Bromeliaceae.